CAGCUUACACAUGCAGUCGAGGGGUAUAGAAGGCUUGCUUUCUAGAGACCGGCAAACGGGUGCGGAACACGUACACAACCUACCUUUAUCAGGGGAAUAGCCCAGAGAAAUUUGGAUUAAUGCCCCAUAGUAUAUUUUGAUGGCAUCAUUAGAAUAUUAAAGAACUUCGGAUAGAGAUGGGUGUGCGUAAGAUUAGCUAGUUGGUAAGGUAACGGCUUACCAAGGCGACGAUCUUUAGCUGAUGUGAGAGCAUGAUCAGCCACACGGGCACUGAGACAUGGGCCCGACUCCUACGGGAGGCAGCAGUGAGGAAUAUUGGUCAAUGGACGGAAGUCUGAACCAGCCAUGCCGCGUGAAGGAUGAAGGCGUUCUGCGUUGUAAACUUCUUUUAUCUGAGAAGAAACCACCGAUUUCUAUUGGUGUUGACGGUAUCAGAUGAAUAAGCACCGGCUAACUCCGUGCCAGCAGCCGCGGUAAUACGGAGGGUGCAAGCGUUAUCCGGAUUUACUGGGUUUAAAGGGUGUGUAGGCGGACUUAUAAGUCAGGGGUGAAAUCUCCGAGCUCAACUCGGAAACUGCCUUUGAUACUAUUAGUCUUGAAUUAUGUUGAGGUUGGCGGAAUAUAACAUGUAGCGGUGAAAUGCAUAGAUAUGUUAUAGAACACCGAUUGCGAAAGGCAGCUGGCUAAACAUAUAUUGACGCUGAGGCACGAAAGCGUGGGUAGCGAACAGGAUUAGAUACCCUGGUAGUCCACGCCCUAA
RNAcentral lists this ribosomal RNA (760 nucleotides) under uncultured bacterium. RNAcentral describes it as "bacterial SSU rRNA". It matches the Rfam family "Bacterial small subunit ribosomal RNA", at positions 43 to 805 of the family's 1533-position model. The record is from RNAcentral.